This 254-nucleotide ribosomal RNA is filed under the name uncultured bacterium. RNAcentral describes it as "partial 16S ribosomal RNA". It matches the Rfam family "Bacterial small subunit ribosomal RNA", at positions 524 to 776 of the family's 1533-position model. The record is from RNAcentral.
GACGAACCGUGCGAACGUUGUUCGGAUUCACUGGGCGUAAAGGGCGCGUAGGCGGCCACCGCAAGUCGACUGUGAAAUCUCCGGGCUUAACCCGGAAAGGUCAGCCGAUACUGCGGGGCUAGAGUGCAGAAGGGGCAACUGGAAUUCUCGGUGUAGCGGUGAAAUGCGUAGAUAUCGAGAGGAACACCUGCGGCGAAGGCGGGUUGCUGGGCUGACACUGACGCUGAGGCGCGAAAGCUAGGGGAGCGAACGGG